Molecule: ribosomal RNA, 466 nt
Filed under: uncultured bacterium
Lineage: Bacteria
Description: bacterial SSU rRNA
Rfam family: Bacterial small subunit ribosomal RNA
Source: RNAcentral
GCCCAGACUCCUACGGGAGGCAGCAGUGAGGAAUAUUGGUCAAUGGCCGCAGGGCUGAGCCAGCCAAGUCGCGUGAGGGAAGACGGCCCUACGGGUUGUAAACCUCUUUUGUCGGGGAGCAAAGCGAACCACGUGUGGUUCAUUGAGAGUACCCGAAGAAAAAGCAUCGGCUAACUCCGUGCCAGCAGCCGCGGUAAUACGGAGGAUGCGAGCGUUAUCCGGAUUUAUUGGGUUUAAAGGGUGCGGAGGCGGGUCUGAUAGGUCGGGGGUAAACGCCGGGGCCUCACCCCCGGCGAGCCGUUGAAACUGGCUGUCUUGAGAUGUCGAGAGGUAUGCGGAAUGCGCAGUGUAGCGGCGAAAUGCUUAGAUAUUGCGCAGAACUCCGAUUGCGAAGGCAGCAUACCGGCGGCGAUCUGACGCUGAGGCGCGAAAGCGUGGGUAUCGAACAGGAUUAGAUACCCGAGUA